UGGGGAAUAUUGGACAAUGGGCGCAAGCCUGAUCCAGCCAUGCCGCGUGAGUGAUGAAGGCCCUAGGGUUGUAAAGCUCUUUCACCGGUGAAGAUAAUGACGGUAACCGGAGAAGAAGCCCCGGCUAACUUCGUGCCAGCAGCCGCGGUAAUACGAAGGGGGCUAGCGUUGUUCGGAUUUACUGGGCGUAAAGCGCACGUAGGCGGACUUUUAAGUCAGGGGUGAAAUCCCGGGGCUCAACCCCGGAACUGCCUUUGAUACUGGAAGUCUUGAGUAUGGGAGAGGGGAGUGGAAUUCCGAGUGUAGAGGUGAAAUUCGUAGAUAUUCGGAGGAACACCAGUGGCGAAGGCGGCUCACUGGACCAUUACUGACGCUGGGGUGCGAAAGCGUGGGGAGCAAACAGG
Molecule: ribosomal RNA, 404 nt
Filed under: Actinomycetes bacterium
Lineage: Bacteria; Bacillati; Actinomycetota; Actinomycetes
Description: Actinobacteria bacterium partial 16S ribosomal RNA
Rfam family: Bacterial small subunit ribosomal RNA
Source: RNAcentral